UACUUUUUUCCUUACCCUUGAUUGGUUGUUAGCUGUGAAGAAGGCGGGAGUAAGUUGCAGAAGGGGAGAGAAAGUGAACAUGGAAGAUGGUUGAAAGACACAGAAGGGACUUAUUUCUGUUUGAUGGAUUUUAGCAGAGGAUUUUUCCUAAUGGACUGAUGGAUCGUGGAUUUUCCAGAAGAUUGAUAGACUGAAGAGCUCCCUUGUAAAGAUGAAAAAAUAUGGCCUCAUGUGAAAAAGGUGCCUGACAGGAGUCAUCCCAAUGAUUCUUCAGUCAGUUCCAUCACAGAACAUACUGGUGACCAUUUUAUUUACAGAGAUGAGCUUUCAAACAUUUCCUGUCAAUCAUGCAUGCCAUCCACUCACUGUCCUAAUUCCAUUUUGCUUUAAUGUUGACUGAUUAAACAAAA
Molecule: non-coding RNA, 410 nt
Organism: Pogona vitticeps (central bearded dragon)
Lineage: Eukaryota; Metazoa; Chordata; Lepidosauria; Squamata; Agamidae
Source: RefSeq, a predicted model, not a curated record